GCCUGUAUGUAUUCUACAUAUAUCGUACUACUAAAAUCAAUCUGUUGAGGUUAGUUUCCAUUUCAAGGAGAGUAGAGAAUCACAACCACCAGCUCCUAUCAUGUGCUGCAUCGUAUCAAUUAAAAUUAAAUUAAAUUAAAUUUCAUGCAAAGAACACAACUUAAAAAAAUCCCAGCAAAUAACAACAGAACCUUUCCACUAAUGAUUUUCAGUCAUCGGAAGUAGAGAGAGACUCAGACAGCAGACAGCAUGGUCCCAGCAUGCUUUUUGCCUUUUUUUUUGUUUGCACAGUAGCUGUCAGUUGCAGCCCUGCAGGAUAAUUAAAAGAGAAUCCUGUAAAGGCAACAUUCCUUCAAGCAAGUUGGUGCUGUAACGUUCUGAAAUACGUAAGGAGGCAUUGACCCCGGAGGACCACGCAAUAUAUGAACACAGUCUGACUGUUGAAGUGGACAAAGAUUAGAAGUCAUGGCAGAGAAGUGGCAAGAAAGGUAGAAGACUCAAGAGAGAGGCUGUGCUCAGAAGGACUGAGAGGACUGAACUAGUCACACAACAGCCACCAGCUCUCAGCCUAACAGU
Molecule: long non-coding RNA, 576 nt
Filed under: Coturnix japonica (Japanese quail)
Lineage: Eukaryota; Metazoa; Chordata; Aves; Galliformes; Phasianidae
Description: lncRNA (ENSCJPG00005004237.1)
Source: RNAcentral